RNAcentral lists this unclassified non-coding RNA (191 nucleotides) under Limosilactobacillus fermentum. RNAcentral's name for it is "Lactobacillus fermentum partial 16S-23S ribosomal RNA intergenic spacer". The stretch from base 29 to 191 matches the Rfam family "Bacterial large subunit ribosomal RNA", at positions 1 to 163 of the family's 2925-position model. Lineage: Bacteria; Bacillati; Bacillota; Bacilli; Lactobacillales; Lactobacillaceae. The record is from RNAcentral.
ACUAACUUGACUGAUCUACGAUCAGUAAGGUUAAGUUAUGAAGGGCGCAUGGUGAAUGCCUUGGUACUAGGAGCCGAUGAAGGACGGGACUAACACCGAUAUGCUUCGGGGAGCGGUAAGUACGCUUUGAUCCGGAGAUUUCCCAAUGGGGAAACCCAAUCAUCUUAGUCGAUGAUUACUUGAGCAGUGAA